AUAAAGGCCAGGCAGAAAGUAUUUGUGAGUUAAUAACCAAAACCAGAGCCAGUCAUGGAAAUGGAAAAAGGGAAUACUACGGACGUAAAGAAAAGGCGUUCGAAUGUAGGCCUACCCGACGGUCAGCGCGUGUUCAACGUGAUCAUCGCUGUCCUUGUUACGAUGACUCUCAUCAAUCAGGGAUAUAUGUUUUUUGAGAUGAAAGCGAAGAUUAAGUAUUACGAUGCUACGCUACAAAGCAUUCAGGUCCCUAAGCGUAUUAUGAAGCGGGGAGUUGAUUCAAGGUUAGAUUCUCUAUGUCCAAUCCAAUGU
Long non-coding RNA from Anneissia japonica, 312 nucleotides. RefSeq lists it as uncharacterized. The transcript is spliced from 3 exons. The record is from RefSeq and is a predicted model, not a curated record. NCBI's taxonomy places the organism in Eukaryota, Metazoa, Echinodermata, Crinoidea, Comatulida, Comatulidae.